CUUACCUAGCCACAGGUCAAUGACGCGCCAGAUACAUGCGUCAUCCGCCAGACACUCCCCCGAAGCCAGCGAGGAUGGCUGCGCGCGCGUUUGAGCGCUCGCGCGCGGCGACCCGUCUGUCUCAUUCUUUUUUUCUUUUUUAAAUGUAACCUGGUUUAUUGGGCUCUCGGCGUAUUCUUGCGUUCCUUCUGCACUGGGACAAGACACCACUGCACUAUUGGACUACGGCAAGCUGGUACCGUCCGGUGGAGCUUCAUACAGGAACUACUGCCUUACCUGCUGGUGUCACAACGUUGGAUGAACGCACAAAAAGCGCGGAACGAGCUUUUAUAUAAGAGCAAAAUAAAUAUUUCCU
Long non-coding RNA from Dermacentor silvarum, 355 nucleotides. RefSeq lists it as uncharacterized. Lineage: Eukaryota; Metazoa; Arthropoda; Arachnida; Ixodida; Ixodidae. The transcript is spliced from 3 exons. The record is from RefSeq and is a predicted model, not a curated record.